Molecule: long non-coding RNA, 1220 nt
Organism: Pipra filicauda (Wire-tailed manakin)
Lineage: Eukaryota; Metazoa; Chordata; Aves; Passeriformes; Pipridae
Exons: 2
Source: RefSeq, a predicted model, not a curated record
AGCACAGGGCUGUGAGCAGAGUGACAUAAGACACCCUCAGCUGCCUUCCCUGCUGGGGAGAACAAGACAGCUGAAUGCUUAGAGGGAAGAAGUGGGAAGGCAAGGGCCUCAAUCCCUUCAUUCUGCAGUGGCAAAGGACAUAGCUCUCUGAGGAACCUUUUCAGUUGGCUCAGGGGAAUAACUGCUGUACUAGGAGAGACAUUGUGAGCAGAGUAGCUGGAUGUAGGAUGCACACAAGGCUUCCACUUCAGACAGGCUGGGAUGUCCAUUGAUUAUACAUCCCCAGAAGUGAUAUCCCAGUUGUGCGAUCCCUUGUGUUACUCCUAGCGACGGAAGGCUACCCAGGGACAGCUUGUUAGUGCCCAAGAUAGAACAAUCAGAAGCCUGGAGCUGCCUCCAGAGAUAUUCCUCGUGCUGCUCUGUUCCUCCUCCUUUGCUCUCCCAGGCUCCUGCAGUUGGCUGAGCAAGCUAAAUCAAAGUCUAUUCCACAUCUUACCCUUUUCCUCAAAGGGCUAUGCACCCAGAGGUGUUCCUGAGAUUCAGAGGGGCUACAGAAGCAUAUUGGAGAGCCUGACAGUACUGGAAGCACCUAUACUGAUGGCAGUUGCAUGGAGAGGAACAGUAUAUACACACAAUGUACUUAUUGCCCUUGAUCACUGGGGAGAUACAGGGCAAAGCGUGAGAGGCUUUUGACGUUAAAGGGAAGGACUAGCAUCACCGAGUGACUGAAGAGACAAACUGCAAUAGGAACCAAAUCCUCACCUUGCAACUCCUUCACAGCCAGAUCUGCAGAGGGAACACAGAGAUGGCCUCAUAAAGAAAACAGACAGCAGACAUAUCAUGAAAUCUUCACAGUUUAAGAGCCCUUUGAUCUUCCUUUCUCCAACCCCCAGCACAAAACUACCUCACUGCAACAAACAUGGUGUGAAAUAAAGAAUCAUGAAUAAAGUCUCAUCAGAAGAAAUCCCCAAAACAGGCAAAAAUUCAUCAAACAGUUGAUCCAGGAAUAAAGAGCAUUCUCAGCAUUUGCAAGCCAACACAGACAAGCCCCUCAUGCUUUGGAGGUAUAAAGAGAAGUGGAGUGGGAAGUUGCAGACCAGCAGCAUUGACUGAUCAUUCAGACAAGACCUGUAGAAUAAAGCUAGAAGCUACCAGAAUUACCUUCUUCAUCAAGAUCUCUCUCAGAUGCUGUGGGUUCAAAUAAAACUUUCCUGGGCUUC